This 73-nucleotide transfer RNA is filed under the name Actinomycetota bacterium. Its description in RNAcentral is "tRNA-Ala". It matches the Rfam family "tRNA". From Rfam's summary of the family: Transfer RNA (tRNA) molecules are approximately 80 nucleotides in length. Their secondary structure includes four short double-helical elements and three loops (D, anti-codon, and T loops). Further hydrogen bonds mediate the characteristic L-shaped molecular structure. tRNAs have two regions of fundamental functional importance: the anti-codon, which is responsible for specific mRNA codon recognition, and the 3' end, to which the tRNAs corresponding amino acid is attached (by aminoacyl-tRNA synthetases). tRNAs cope with the degeneracy of the genetic code in two manners: having more than one tRNA (with a specific anti-codon) for a particular amino acid; and 'wobble' base-pairing, i.e. permitting non-standard base-pairing at the 3rd anti-codon position. Lineage: Bacteria; Bacillati; Actinomycetota. The record is from RNAcentral.
GGGCCAGUAGCUCAGCUGGUAGAGCACACCCCUCGCACGGGUGGGGUCAGGGGUUCGAAUCCCCUCUGGUCCA